GUAAGUUCAGGGCUGGGAGCAGAGA
RNAcentral lists this microRNA (25 nucleotides) under Mus musculus (house mouse). RNAcentral describes it as "mmu-miR-6970-5p". Lineage: Eukaryota; Metazoa; Chordata; Mammalia; Rodentia; Muridae. The record is from miRBase by way of RNAcentral.